This 395-nucleotide long non-coding RNA is filed under the name Gossypium barbadense (sea-island cotton). Its description in RNAcentral is "long non-coding RNA (GBAR_LNC003947)". The record is from RNAcentral. Lineage: Eukaryota; Viridiplantae; Streptophyta; Magnoliopsida; Malvales; Malvaceae.
UUUUUGAAGGUCCCAAGCAGUUAGUUGCACUUGGAUUGAUAUUAAACUCCUGCCUUUCUCUGGUGCAUGAUCGAUUUUAUCCUCGCUUCAUCUUUUCCAUAUAUGGAUGUUAACGAUGUCUCCGUCUAGUAGGCACCAGUAAGGGAAAUUGCAUGCAUCAAAGGGAAAGGAAAAAUGAAAAAGACUGUACAUGUACAAGUGAGAAAGAGUCUUUAGCUGGUCAGGACUGCUACUGUCAUUAUAUAUAACUUUAAUGUAAUACAUUUGUUUUUCCUGUACGUAAGAUUUGGGAAGGGAUUAUAAGUGUUGAGAUUUGAAACCCCGACUUGUUGGAUGUCAUCGUACAAGAAUCAACAGGACUAAGCUCUGUUUUUUAAUAUUAUGCUGAGUUAUUG